Molecule: long non-coding RNA, 329 nt
Filed under: Lathyrus oleraceus (garden pea)
Lineage: Eukaryota; Viridiplantae; Streptophyta; Magnoliopsida; Fabales; Fabaceae
Description: Pisum sativum (pea) long non-coding RNA (PSAT_LNC033768)
Source: RNAcentral
CCUGUUGCAGGUAGCCAUGAAACCCUAAUUUCUGAUUAAAUCCAGAUGAACACUCUGAUAGCUUUGAAUCCUUCACUGAUGAACUGAGGACCAUAAUAAGAUACUUGGACCCCCCUGAGACCCUUGAGACUUGUAUACUUAGAAAAUGAAGUCCAAUUCUCAAUCUUGCUUUGUGUGGGCUCCUUCUGUUAAGGAGUGAUCGAUCAAAACCUGAUCUCCAUGUCACUAAUGCAGUAUGCAAUGAGUAUGACCUAAUAUGAUGCUAAUGAAGUGUAAAACAUAAUCCCAUGCUUCCAGGAAAAAUGAAGGGUAAAUUUUGGGAUAUUACA